AGAAAGUUCCUGUCCUGCAGAGCUUCCACUGAAUUUUCUUGUGUGAAUGUUUUUGAUAGGUGUACAAGUAUAUUUUCUGCAAUUUAAUACUUUGCUGUUUACGUUUCAUAUAAUAGUUAUAUUAUUAUGAAAACAAGAAAGUGCAUUAUUAUUCUUUUGCAAUAAUAAUGUGGCUGCAUUUCUCGAUGAUUUUCUGGAGCUUACCGAAAUUUUGAAUGGAAUGUUUCCUGAUCGUGAUGCAGCCAUGUGCCUAUCAGACGGAAAAAUUGGUUCCGCGUGGCAUUCUCCUGGACUUGGCUUUUGGUCAUUUGCGAGUGCCUUUUGUUUCGGAUGGUCAACUCCAGCGUCAACUCUAUAUACAGUACAAGACAGCGGAUAAGGGAAGUCUGGCGGACCGACGUCCACUACAGAGUAGACUUCCGUUGUCCGCUUUCUUGAAGAUAGACUUGUCACUUCCGGUGCGGGAAUUGAGGUAUCAGGAUACGAAUAAUAUGGCUAUAUCGCAAACGCAUUAGCGCUUUGCAUUGCGUACUAUAUGCAGUGCCAAUCGCAAGUGUAUCUGCGAUAAACGCGAUCCAGAAUUCCACCGGGUAGCGGCGGGUACACGCUGCAUUCCCCACUCAACUACCAGUACGCCCGCCAGUUACACAAGAAGCCCAAGAUAUAUUACUUACUAGCGGCGGUUGUUAACCACAUUAUUGCACGAGCGCGAGCGCCAGUACCACUGGGUAGUGGUACUGGGUUUCUGGAAUUGGUAAAGUGAGCCGUGACGCUCUUCGUGGCGUCAGACAAAUUUGUGCUCUUGACGAUCAGUUAACUGCUUACUGCACUACUGCAGCACCUCGCGCUUCGCGCUCGGUGCAAAUUAGAGCUACGCUAAGUUGCCUUUUAGUUGUGAACAGGACGACAAACGUUAUUAAUUUUAUACGGGCAUUUGACUUGUCCGAACUUUUCCGCAGACAUCUGUCCGGUUUGACCAACUGCGAUGUGGUUGUCACAGUAAAUUAUUUAUGCUACCGUAUUGUUAUGUUUUAAUUUGGUGUCGUUUACAGAUU
Molecule: long non-coding RNA, 1055 nt
Organism: Paramacrobiotus metropolitanus
Lineage: Eukaryota; Metazoa; Tardigrada; Eutardigrada; Parachela; Macrobiotidae
Exons: 3
Source: RefSeq, a predicted model, not a curated record